RNAcentral lists this ribosomal RNA (501 nucleotides) under uncultured bacterium. Its description in RNAcentral is "partial 16S ribosomal RNA". It matches the Rfam family "Bacterial small subunit ribosomal RNA", at positions 30 to 523 of the family's 1533-position model. The record is from RNAcentral.
AUUGAACGCUGGCGGCAGGCUUAACACAUGCAAGUCGAGCGGAGAUGAGGUGCUUGCACCUUAUCUUAGCGGCGGACGGGUGAGUAAUGCUUAGGAAUCUGCCUAUUAGUGGGGGACAACAUUCCGAAAGGAAUGCUAAUACCGCAUACGUCCUACGGGAGAAAGCAGGGGAUCUUCGGACCUUGCGCUAAUAGAUGAGCCUAAGUCGGAUUAGCUAGUUGGUGGGGUAAAGGCCUACCAAGGCGACGAUCUGUAGCGGGUCUGAGAGGAUGAUCCGCCACACUGGGACUGAGACACGGCCCAGACUCCGACGGGAGGCAGCAGGGGGGAAUAUGGGACAAUGGGGGGAACCCUGAUCCAGCCAUGCCGCGUGUGUGAAGAAGGCCUUAUGGUUGUAAAGCACUUUAAGCGAGGAGGAGGCUCUUUUGGUUAAUACCCAAGAUGAGUGGACGUUACUCGCAGAAUAAGCACCGGCUAACUCUGUGCCAGCCGCCGCCGUAA